AAAUUGAAGAGUUUGAUCAUGGCUCAGAUUGAACGCUGGCGGCAGGCCUAACACAUGCAAGUCGAACGGUAACAGAAAGCAGCUUGCUGCUUUGCUGACGAGUGGCGGACGGGUGAGUAAUGUCUGGGAAACUGCCUGAUGGAGGGGGAUAACUACUGGAAACGGUAGCUAAUACCGCAUAACGUCGCAAGACCAAAGAGGGGGA
This 205-nucleotide ribosomal RNA is filed under the name Escherichia coli. RNAcentral describes it as "partial 16S ribosomal RNA". It matches the Rfam family "Bacterial small subunit ribosomal RNA", at positions 1 to 213 of the family's 1533-position model. The record is from RNAcentral. Lineage: Bacteria; Pseudomonadati; Pseudomonadota; Gammaproteobacteria; Enterobacterales; Enterobacteriaceae.